AGCAGCCGCGGUAAUUCCAGCUCCAAUAGCGUAUAUUAAAGUUGUUGCAGUUAAAAAGCUCGUAGUUGAAUUUCGGGAUCAAUAUGUUGGUCGUGCCUUGGUACGUACUGGCAUUAUCGAUUCCUACCUUCUGAAGAACCUCGAUGUCAUUAAUUUGGUGUCUUGGGGAAUCAGGACUGUUACUUUGAAAAAUUAGAGUGUUUAAAGCAGGCUCGCGCUUGAAUACAUUAGCAUGGAAUAAUGAAAUAGGACGUUUGAUUCUAUUUUGUUGGUUUCUAGGAUCGACGUAAUGAUUAAUAGGGAUAGUUGGGGGCAUUAGUAUUCAAUUGUCAGAGGUGAAAUUCUUGGAUUUUAUUGAAGACUAAACUACUGCGAAAGCAUUUGCCAAGGACGUUUUCAUUAAUCAAGAACGAAAGUUAGGGGAUCGAAGACGAUCAGAUACCGUCGUAGUCUUAACCAUAAACUAUGCCGACUAGGGAUCGGAUGAUGUUAAUUUUUAAUGUACUCUA
This 509-nucleotide ribosomal RNA is filed under the name uncultured Glomeraceae. Its description in RNAcentral is "SSU rRNA". It matches the Rfam family "Eukaryotic small subunit ribosomal RNA", at positions 569 to 1083 of the family's 1831-position model. The record is from RNAcentral. Lineage: Eukaryota; Fungi; Glomeromycota; Glomeromycetes; Glomerales; Glomeraceae.